Molecule: ribosomal RNA, 245 nt
Filed under: uncultured Parachlamydia sp.
Lineage: Bacteria; Pseudomonadati; Chlamydiota; Chlamydiia; Parachlamydiales; Parachlamydiaceae
Description: partial 16S ribosomal RNA
Rfam family: Bacterial small subunit ribosomal RNA
Source: RNAcentral
UACGGAGGGUGCAAGCAUUAAUCGGAUUUAUUGGGCGUAAAGGGCGCGUAGGCGGAGAGAAAAGUCAGAUGUGAAAUCCCGGGGCUCAACCCCGGAACAGCAUUUGAAACUCUCACUCUAGAGGGUAGGCGGAGAAAACGGAAUUCCACAAGUAGCGGUGAAAUGCGUAGAUAUGUGGAAGAACACCGGUGGCGAAGGCGGUUUUCUAGCUUAUUCCUGACGCUGAGGCGCGAAAGCAAGGGGAU